This 2131-nucleotide long non-coding RNA is filed under the name Solanum lycopersicum (tomato). RNAcentral's name for it is "partial TCONS_00139564". Lineage: Eukaryota; Viridiplantae; Streptophyta; Magnoliopsida; Solanales; Solanaceae. The record is from RNAcentral.
UGCCUCGUAACGCCAGUUAACAUCUCUCUUCACUUUUCUCAGUAUCACUUCUCAACAGAAAUGGCGGUCUCGAAGGCAACUUCAUCAGUCCUUGCUGUAAUUGUCGUUGUUUGUUUUCUCAUCGGAACUACAAUAGCUGCCGACGCACCUGCACCGGCACCUGCUUCUUCCGCCGGAUCUAUGUCUCCGUCAUUCGCCGCUGGCUGUGCUGUCACUGUUUUCGCUUUCCUCUUCGGAUCUGCACUCAGGAUCUGAAGUUUUUGAAGAGUAGAGAGUGAGAUGAGUUUGUCUCAAUUUUCUACUGCUUAUUCAUUGUUUGCAUUUCAGAUUUCUUCGUGUUUUCUGGUGUAUAUGAAUAUAUGAUAUGUUACUAGGAACUGCUUCGUGUAUGUAUAGUCUAUGCAUUUCUUCUGUUCUAUGGAUUAUUUCUGCGUUUUCCAGAGUAGCUUUUUUGAUAUAUGAUAUUUUGGACGGCCCUAUGUAUUGAGUUUAUUUUACCUCCUUUAUUUCAUAGAUCUACUUCAGACAUCUCUAUUCUGCGAUUCUUCAUUUUUUUUGUCGAUUUUAUUAAUUAUUUUUUGGCGUAAUAUAGAUUUGUUUUCAUAAGCAUAAGCGAAUUUUUUUAAUCUUGUGCAAAAUUUCAAAUUAAUUAUGCUUAAUAAUUUGUAAGAGCUGAUGCAGAAGUGUGAAGGUAUUUAUUUAUAGAUACUGUUUACAGUGUGAAGCUUCAAUUUGGUCACAGAUUUUGUAGCUAAAUUUAUUUUUUGAAGUCUUAUAUUUAAACAGAUAUUUUAUAUAAUUUUUUGUAUGUUAUAAUUUUAUGGGUAAAUGUUGUAAAACUCAAAAAUAUGUGCGAACUCGUCACAACGGUGUCUGGAUUGUAUAAUUAUAUUAUAAUAAAGAAGAAAGGAGAGAGAGAGUUACCGACUGAAUCUGAAAUUUUGUUAAGAAUGUCGAUGGCGUGUGACUAUCAAAAUAAUUUUACUAUAUAGAAUUUGAAUUUGAAAUUUUACAAUUGUGCCAAAGCGAUAAUUUUAUUGAGUUUAAAUAUGUAUAUAAUAUGAGGAAAUUUCACACAACUAGACAACAUGAGGUGGCUAUAGCUCCCACCCCUUAGCAUGAACUUUGAAAUAUUACCACAUGGAAUGGUUUUUGCUCUGCACAAGCCCAAUUUUAAGGAGGAUUGUUACGAAUAGCCACCAUGAAUCUGAGUGUUGAAAACAUUCAAUCUGUCCACAUUUUUAUCAUAUCUAUUAAAUCACAUUACACUUUAAAUUAAUUACUUAAUGACACAUAUCUCUCCUCCUCUUUCUUCUCCUAUGCUCUAUUUUAUGCCUUAACCAUGUAGAUUAAGGCAAUAAUAAACAUCGACUUUGCACCGUUUUGAUUCAUUAAAAAGGGAAAAGAUUCAAGAUUCUUGAAUUUUUUCUUUACCAAAAUUUAAAGGAAAGUUAUUGAUGCCAGAUGAUCACGGAAGGCAUAAUUUUAUUUAUGCAUUUGAAUAAUUACAUUUUCGUCUUCUUUUUCUUAUCAUGUGUUAUCUAUAACAAGUUCCAAAAUAUUCUUCAGGUACGCAUAACAAGUGGAUUCAUAAUUACGCGUAGGUGUGAGGGUCGAUUUUUAAAUGUAGAAAGAGUUUUGGGAAUGAAUUGAGUUGAAUUUAAAAUUUUCUUGUCAGUGUAAAAUCUUAAUUAGGACAAGUGCAAACAAAACAAAAAUAUCUGAAGAGUUAUAUAUAAUAUGAAGUGUUAUGUGUCCAUCAAAUUAAAGGAAGGACUCUUGUCAUUUAUUCAAGUUAUGUGCUAAAAGUUAUUCUCAUUUUAUUGGUAGCAUUUGCGAAGAGGAUGUUAGGUCAGUGCUCCUAUUAAGGUUGAGUGACUAGUCACGACCUAGACUCCAACUGCGUGACCGCGCACGUUUCUUUAAGAAAAAAAUUGUUCUCAACUUUUUAUGUAUUAGGGGGGAUGCUUUCACCUUUUCCUCAUCCCACAACUCCAAUACGACUGUUACAUUUUUUCAAUUUUUCUCUUUCAUCUACGUUUAUACUAUGUGAUUGCUAAAAAGUUUAUGUUAAAGGAAGUAAGCACCCACAACCUUUAAAUCCUGGAUCCGCAAGUGAAUUUAGACUCCC